RNAcentral lists this long non-coding RNA (800 nucleotides) under Equus asinus (donkey). RNAcentral's name for it is "lncRNA (ENSEASG00005038792.1, ENSEASG00020004087.1)". Lineage: Eukaryota; Metazoa; Chordata; Mammalia; Perissodactyla; Equidae. The record is from RNAcentral.
AGGCAAUUAACCUCUAACCCUCCCUUAGAUGUUUUAGACAUGCUUAUUUACUCUUCCCUGGGGAGGGGAGGAGAGUGAAGCAGACAUAUGUUAAAAACCUUACCCCUCCCCAAUCCUCAGAGGCCUUCCCCAGCAUUCUUUAAAUCAUCAGAAGUCAAGUUCUGCUGGGAAACAUUCCAAGGCAGGGGCAAUCCCCCAGCGGUCUCCCAGCUCCACCAAACCAAACCGCACCUUUUACCUUCCACCUCCUGCAUCUCCUGGGUGUCCUGCUCUCAGCAGAUUUGAGAUUUCUGAGCUGCCUGGUGCAGUGUGAUGGAGCGGGUCAUCAUUACAGUCCCUCGUCCCGAGAGGUGACUCUGGGCCAGGCUUGUGCUCAGCCUCGCAACCACAGGAAGGUGGUUUUUACAGCUAGAUCCUUUCACCCUGGGGCUUUUACAUGCAGAAGGUGACGGACAUCCUGACUCAGAGCUCCCCUCUCCCUUUCAAGAGAAGACUGUGUAUCAUGAUUAUUGAGUGUCCAAUGGGAAGUCCAGUAAUCCUAAUGUUAAAAACAGCUAACAGAGGCUUGCUGAGCCCCAGUCACAUGCCAGAUGACACUGGCCUAAGUGGUGUGCAUUUAAAAAAAAAUUCAGCUUUAUUGAGAUGUAAUUGACAUAUAAAAUCUUGUGGCAUGUGGGACGCUGCCUCAGCGUGGUUUGAUGAGCAGUGCCAUGUCCGCGCCCAGGAUUCGAACUGACGAAACAGUGGGCCGCCUGCAGCGGAGCCUGUGAACUUAACCACUCGGCCAUGGGGCCAGCCCC